CGCCGCCGCGGGAAUACGAAGGGUGCAAGCGUUAAUCGGAAUUACUGGGCGUAAAGCGUGCGUAGGCGGUGAGUUAAGUCUGUUGUGAAAUCCCCGGGCUCAACCUGGGAAUGGCAAUGGAUACUGGCAAGCUAGAGUGUGUCAGAGGAUGGUGGAAUUCCCGGUGUAGCGGUGAAAUGCGUAGAGAUCGGGAGGAACAUCAGUGGCGAAGGCGGCCAUCUGGGACAACACUGACGCUGAGGCACGAAAGCGUGGGGAGCAAACAGGAUUAGAUACCCCUGUAGUCCCUGUCUCUUAUACA
Molecule: ribosomal RNA, 301 nt
Filed under: uncultured bacterium
Lineage: Bacteria
Description: partial 16S ribosomal RNA
Rfam family: Bacterial small subunit ribosomal RNA
Source: RNAcentral